AUCCUGGAGAGAUUUGGGAGUGCUCGAAAGAGAGCCUGAACACAGGUGCUGCAUGGCUGUCGUCAGCUCGUGUCGUGAGAUGUUGGGUUAAGUCCCGCAACGAGCGCAACCCUUGUCAUUAAUUGCCAUCAUUCAGUUGGGCACUUUAAUGAGACUGCCGGUGACAAACCGGAGGAAGGUGGGGAUGACGUCAAGUCCUCAUGGCCCUUAUGGGUAGGGCUUCACACGUCAUACAAUGGUCGGUUCAGAGGGCUGCCAACCCGCGAGGGGGAGCCAAUCUCAGAAAGCCGAUCGUAGUCCGGAUCGCAGUCUGCAACUCGACUGCGUGAAGUCGGAAUCGCUAGUAAUCGCGGAUCAGCAUGUCGCGGUGAAUACGUUCCCGGGUCUUGUACACACCGCCCGUCACACCAUGGGAGCGGGUUCUGCCAGAAGUAGUUAGCCUAACCGCAAGGAGGGCGAUUACCACGGCAGGGUUCGUGACUGGGGUGAAGUCGUAACAAGGUAGCCGUAGGGGAACCUGCGGCUGGAUCACCUCCUUUCU
RNAcentral lists this ribosomal RNA (541 nucleotides) under Candidatus Accumulibacter phosphatis. Its description in RNAcentral is "bacterial SSU rRNA". It matches the Rfam family "Bacterial small subunit ribosomal RNA", at positions 995 to 1533 of the family's 1533-position model. Lineage: Bacteria; Pseudomonadati; Pseudomonadota; Betaproteobacteria. The record is from RNAcentral.